Molecule: long non-coding RNA, 2177 nt
Organism: Brassica rapa (field mustard)
Lineage: Eukaryota; Viridiplantae; Streptophyta; Magnoliopsida; Brassicales; Brassicaceae
Source: RefSeq, a predicted model, not a curated record
UUUUAGAGCCGCCUUAUAAUCAGACUUAUGUAUUUGAUCCUUAUUUUGAUUUCGUAUUCUAUCCUUAUUACUAAAUGAUAUACGCUAAAUUUUUGUUUACAUUACUAUUAUAUUUAUACUUUAUUAUUCAUUUAUUUUUCAAUUGAGUUUAAAGUUAAGGAUAGAAGUCCAAUUCAUUUCUUUUCUUACGCUUUUCUGGUUCACCAAAUUUAAAAUUCAACAUUGUAGUAAAUUAAAAUAAUUAGCCUUUGCUAAAAUAAUAUAUUUUGUAAAAUGAUUUCAGUAAAUAUUCUCCAUCACCAAUAUUAGUAUUGACUUUUGAAUAAUAUUUUACAUAGAAUAUAUUAUGCGAUAUUUUGAUAAAAUUCGUCAUAUAAAUGUUUGUGCAUUCUUUAUUUAUUGAUUUAGUUGCUCUUUCAUUUUGAUGAACUUGGCUACCAACUUUGAGAAUGAGACCGACCAUCUGCAUCAGAAUUAGAACAGAGCUAGUAUAAUCGACUCUUCUUAGCAGUUAGAACCAAAGCUAGUAUGAUCGACUCUUCUUAGCAGUUAGAACCAAAGCUAGUAUGAUCGACUCUUCUUGAGUUUCAAAAAGAAUUAUUCUUGAGAAAAUCUCAGCUUAGUUUGAGCUUAACAACUCAUCAAAUAAUUCCAUCAUCGGUUUGAUUGUUUGUGGCUUCUUCACCCGAUGGAAUUAUGGAUUGUGAAUUUGUGGUCUUCUUCAUGUUUGAAUGUUACUUAUGAUCCCGAAUAGUGUCAUGUUAUAUGGUCUUCGAUUCACAAAUUUAGUAAUAAAUUGUGAUAACCUGGUCUACUAUAAUCUGUUUGGUUUGUCUAAUUAUAUUUAUUUUUAUCAAACCAAAACUCAAUUCUUUUAUUCACUUUAAUCUAACCCGUAUAUUUCUAUCAGCAUAUAUAUCUCCUUCUACCUAAAGUCAAGUUGUCAUCUUCUUUGUAUCGUAAACAUUGAUGCUUCUCACCAGCACCUCCUUUUUCUUAUCUUCUCUUCUUCCCCUCCUUCAGACUUCGUAUGGUUCUUGGUUCGUCCCUCAAACCCUCCUCUCCGUUUAUGUAUGCGAAAAAGACGUUGUGUUCGUUUCCAAUCGUCACCACCAAUGUUGUCCAUAGAGUGAUAGAGUCAUCUCAUCUUUACUCUUGUUGGUAUUAUGUAGCGGAACCGAAACGUGGAUGAGAGCGACGUCGGAGCUGCCGCCUUUCACCAUCACUGGACGCUGGAAUCUUCACAAUCCACCGGAGAUCUGCACCGUUACCAUAAACCCUAUAACUCCCACCCAAAACCCUCUACACUUGUUCACGGAUCUCAUCGCUCUCCGAGAAAGAAGAUGGAGGAGGAUCGUGAACUCACAGAGAAAUUUACAACAUAUAAAUAUCUCAAAAGAAAUUUUUGAGUUUUGAUAAAUAAAAGAAAUUACAAACUAUUUUUAAAAUGUUAACAUUUUAGUAGUUUUCAAAUAUAAAUAGUUUUUAGUAUUUUUGAUAAGUAAGAAAGAGUUAUAAAAUAUUAACUUAGUAUUUGGUACUUUUGAUUGAAAACAAUAAUAUAACAUUGUUGGAUAUCUUGAAUAAUUUUUUUUUAAAAUAAUACAAAAGGGAUAAAAAUGAGAUCACUACAGGAAACGUGGGUAUUAAUAGCUGGCGUUAAACGCUAUAAGUUCGUUUUAAUAGUGUUUCCUAAAACACUCUGACAGCACCCGUUAUCAUAGGUCCGACUCUUUUGAUAGCAGAUUUGUUGUAUGCUAUAAUUAAAUAUACAACGAUAGCAUUAAUUUCUUUGCAAUUGUUAAUAUUUAUAAUAACGUCAUAGAAAUGUUAUUAAACCCCACUAAUUUGAUUUUUACUAUUGCAGUUUGUCAUCCAUUUUACAGAUUUGGCUUUUUUAAUUGUAGCUUUUAUGAUUCCAGUUAAUUUUAUAAAUGCAAUUUCUUUUAGAAAUACAAAAGAAAAUGAAAGUGCAAAUUUUACAUUAAACAUGAAAAGUUUACAAAUCUUACUUCCAUCCAAACGUAUCAAGUUCAACAAACACCAACAACAUAAAUUUCCCCAUGAUCAUAACACCAACAACAAAAUAUCCCCAUGUCCACUGUCAGUGUUUUCUUCAUAUUCAUCCUCUGAAUUAACCUCAUCUUCACACAGAUCAUGCUCACAAACUCAAGAAC